Molecule: ribosomal RNA, 460 nt
Filed under: uncultured bacterium
Lineage: Bacteria
Description: partial 16S ribosomal RNA
Rfam family: Bacterial small subunit ribosomal RNA
Source: RNAcentral
CCUACGGGAGGCAGCAGUGAGGAAUAUUGGUCAAUGGGCGGAAGCCUGAACCAGCCAAGUAGCGUGCAGGAUGAAGGCACUACGGGUUGUAAACUGCUUUUAUACGGGAAUAACGCGCCUUACGUGUAGGGCGUUGCAUGUACCGUAUGAAUAAGGACCGGCUAAUUCCGUGCCAGCAGCCGCGGUAAUACGGAAGGUCCGGGCGUUAUCCGGAUUUAUUGGGUUGAAAGGGAGCGUAGGCCGCAUGUCAAGCGUGCUGUGAAAUGUCCGGGCUCAACCCGGGCCUUGUAGGGCGAACUGGCGUGCUUGGUUCGGCGGAAGGCAGGCGGAAUUCGUGGUGUAGCGGUGAAAUGCUUAGAUAUGACGAAGAACCCCGAUUGCGAGGGCAGCUUGCUGCAGCGGAACUGACGCUGAUGCUCGAAAGCGCGGGUAUCGAACAGGAUUAGAUACCCCUGUAGUC